GCACUCCCAACUCAAAGUGUUGUUGUGAGAAUUAAAUAAGAUGAGGAAGACUGGAGGCCAAGAUCACCCCUUGAGGAUCAUUGUCAGGGCUGCCACGAGUGGGGCAGCCUUGUUUUCCUACCUCAGACACCU
Non-coding RNA from Aethalodelphis obliquidens (Pacific white-sided dolphin), 132 nucleotides. NCBI's taxonomy places the organism in Eukaryota, Metazoa, Chordata, Mammalia, Artiodactyla, Delphinidae. The record is from RefSeq and is a predicted model, not a curated record.